GACGAACGCUGGCGGCGUGCCUAACACAUGCAAGUGGAGCGACGAACCAGGGCUUGCCCUGGGGCCAAGCCGCGAACGGGUGAGUAACACGUGGGUAACCUGCCCCGAUGACCGGGACAACCCGAGGAAACUCGGGCUAAUACCGGAUGUGGUGGACACACUUAAGUGUGUCCACUAAAGGAAGCUUCGGCCUCCGCAUUGGGAUGGGCCCGCGGCCCAUUAGCUAGUUGGUGGGGUAAAGGCCUACCAAGGCAACGAUGGGUAGCUGGUCUGAGAGGACGAUCAGCCACACUGGGACUGAGACACGGCCCAGACUCCUACGGGAGGCAGCAGUGGGGAAUCUUGCGCAAUGCGCGAAAGCGUGACGCAGCAACGCCGCGUGAGGGAAGACGGCC
This 395-nucleotide ribosomal RNA is filed under the name uncultured bacterium. Its description in RNAcentral is "bacterial SSU rRNA". It matches the Rfam family "Bacterial small subunit ribosomal RNA", at positions 28 to 416 of the family's 1533-position model. The record is from RNAcentral.